This is a long non-coding RNA of Musa acuminata subsp. malaccensis (wild Malaysian banana), 846 nucleotides long. RefSeq lists it as uncharacterized. NCBI's taxonomy places the organism in Eukaryota, Viridiplantae, Streptophyta, Magnoliopsida, Zingiberales, Musaceae. The record is from RefSeq and is a predicted model, not a curated record.
UUAACUGACAGCUUCAUGAGUUGGCUUCCUCGAUCGUUCUUUUGGUAAGGGAGAUGAAAGCAAGAAACCUCGAAGCCAUCUUUCCACCCCGACCUCCCCUCUCAUCUCCACCUCCUCCGCCCGCUUCCUUACUGUCGAUUCGCCACCGUCGCUCUCAACGGCGAUGGUGUUACGUGUAGUGCGAUCGCCACCGUGGCCCUCAGCCGCUGUCUUCUUCCGCUGCAGUCAGACCGUGAACGCCCGCAUAACUCCACGAUCCUAACCACUAUUGAGAGACCACGUAUCUAGGGUCCAAAUCAUGUUCGCCUGGGACGAUUGCCGGUCCGCCACCCUAGUUCUUGGUUUUCGGUUGAUGCCCAUGACCCAUUAAUAGAAAGGGAGUGUGAAAGAGACAGGGAGAGAGCGUAGCAAGCGAGGUAGAGGUGGGACGAAGAAUUAGGAAGUAAGACGAAAAGUGUGUGAACCAGGUGGAGUAAAGUAACUUAAUUAGUGAUUUGAAGCUUUGAUAUAGCCAGAAGAUAUCACGUGAUCCGCAUCAGAAUGAUGGUUUUUCAAUCUCACGUGGCUGAGGAGGUCUAUGAGGAGCCAAAUGGACUGCGAAGAAGGAUCUGCUCCUCCCCUCUCUUAACCAGAUGGUAAGGCGACAUGUUUCUCUACUCAACCAUCGUUCUUCUCUUUCAAUUCUUCUUGUAUUCUUUUCUAGAAUCGCCGAUGAUGUUGAGAUCCGUCAUGUUUCAAUGGGACUUCUAUAGCCGAUCGAAAUUCUUGGAAGAGCCAAACGAAGUGCGAAGAAGGAUCUCCGCUACUUUCCUCUUCAACAAUAUUAUUAGACUACGUGAUUCUCUA